GGCCUUGUAGCUUAAUCUGGUGGAGCAUUCGACUGAUAAUCGAAAGGUUGGGAGUUCAAAUCUCCUCGAGGCCACCA
Molecule: transfer RNA, 77 nt
Filed under: Nanobdellota archaeon
Lineage: Archaea; Nanobdellati; Nanobdellota
Description: tRNA-Ile
Rfam family: tRNA
About the family: Transfer RNA (tRNA) molecules are approximately 80 nucleotides in length. Their secondary structure includes four short double-helical elements and three loops (D, anti-codon, and T loops).
Source: RNAcentral